This 253-nucleotide ribosomal RNA is filed under the name uncultured bacterium. Its description in RNAcentral is "partial 16S ribosomal RNA". It matches the Rfam family "Bacterial small subunit ribosomal RNA", at positions 524 to 776 of the family's 1533-position model. The record is from RNAcentral.
UACGGGGGGGGCAAGCGUUGUUCGGAAUUACUGGGCGUAAAGGGCUCGUAGGCGGCCAACUAAGUCAGACGUGAAAUCCCUCGGCUUAACCGGGGAACUGCAUCUGAUACUGGAUGGCUUGAGUUCGGGAGAGGGAUGCGGAAUUCCAGGUGUAGCGGUGAAAUGCGUAGAUAUCUGGAGGAACACCGGUGGCGAAGGCGGCAUCCUGGACCGGCAUUGACGCUGAGGCGCGAAAGCUAGGGGAGCAAACAGG